Molecule: microRNA, 22 nt
Filed under: Gallus gallus (chicken)
Lineage: Eukaryota; Metazoa; Chordata; Aves; Galliformes; Phasianidae
Description: gga-miR-1627-3p
Source: miRBase by way of RNAcentral
CAGCCACGCUACUGUCACUGGU